Molecule: ribosomal RNA, 570 nt
Filed under: uncultured bacterium
Lineage: Bacteria
Description: partial 16S ribosomal RNA
Rfam family: Bacterial small subunit ribosomal RNA
Source: RNAcentral
UGGGGAAUAUUGGACAAUGGGCGAAAGCCUGAUCCAGCAAUGCCGCGUGUGUGAAGAAGGCCUUCGGGUCGUAAAGCACUUUUGUCCGGAAAGAAAUCCUUGGCUCUAAUACAGUCGGGGGAUGACGGUACCGGAAGAAUAAGCACCGGCUAACUACGUGCCAGCAGCCGCGGUAAUACGUAGGGUGCAAGCGUUAAUCGGAAUUACUGGGCGUAAAGCGUGCGCAGGCGGUUUGCUAAGACCGAUGUGAAAUCCCCGGGCUCAACCUGGGAACUGCAUUGGUGACUGGCAGGCUAGAGUAUGGCAGAGGGGGGUAGAAUUCCACGUGUAGCAGUGAAAUGCGUAGAGAUGUGGAGGAAUACCGAUGGCGAAGGCAGCCCCCUGGGCCAAUACUGACGCUCAUGCACGAAAGCGUGGGGAGCAAACAGGAUUAGAUACCCUGGUAGUCCACGCCCUAAACGAUGUCAACUAGUUGUUGGGGAUUCAUUUCCUUAGUAACGUAGCUAACGCGUGAAGUUGACCGCCUGGGGAGUACGGUCGCAAGAUUAAAACUCAAAUGAAUUGACGGGG